AUGGCUCGAUAGCUCAGUCGGUAGAGCAGAGGACUGAAAAUCCUCGUGUCCCUGGUUCGAUUCCUGGUCGAGCCACCAG
This 79-nucleotide transfer RNA is filed under the name Clostridium botulinum Bf. RNAcentral describes it as "tRNA-Lys". It matches the Rfam family "tRNA". From Rfam's summary of the family: Transfer RNA (tRNA) molecules are approximately 80 nucleotides in length. Their secondary structure includes four short double-helical elements and three loops (D, anti-codon, and T loops). Lineage: Bacteria; Bacillati; Bacillota; Clostridia; Eubacteriales; Clostridiaceae. The record is from RNAcentral.